GUGCCUGAAGCUACUAAAUGAAAGGGAACACAUUAAAACAGUGAAAAACACCUGGGUGGCUCAGUCAGUUGAGUCUCUGACUCUUGGUUUUGGCUUGGGUCAUGAUCUCCUGGUUCAUGAAACUGAGCCUUGCAUCAGGCUCUGUGUUGGCAGUAAGGAGCCUGCUUGGGAUUCUCUCUCUCUCUCUCUCUCUCUCUCUCUCUCUCUCUCUCUGCCACUCCUUCAAUCAUGCUGUCUCUGUCUCAAAAUAAAUAAGUAAACUUUAAGGAAAGGUAAUUAUAAAGUAUAUUUUGGACAUAAUUCCAUAUCAGUAUAUAAAUAGCUUUCUCAUCGAAUUCCAUUGUCUGGAUAUAUCAUGAUUUAUGUUAGACAUUUUCUAUUGACUUUUAGACUGUUUGUAAUCUUUUGGCAUUCCAGAAAUAAAUACUGUAAUAAAGAACCUUAGUCAUACAUAAUUUCACACAUAUGCAAGCAUAUUUUUAAGAUAAGUUGCUUGGUCAAAGUUUAUGUACAUUUAAGUUGUAUUACAUAUCUCCAAAUUACCCUCCAUAUAUGCUGUUGCACAUGGUAUCUCAGUAUCAUUUGACUUUGCAUUUCCUUUUUUACUUUGGUGUCGAAACUUUUUCUCGUACAUAUAAAUGUCAUUUGUAUUUGCUUUUCUAUGAAGUGUAUAAUUAUAUAUAAUAUAUAAUAUAUAUUACAUACAUAAUUAACUAUAAUUUUUCUCAUUGAGUUUCUACUCUUUCCUUGACUGUUUUAUAUGAGGUGCUUAUUGUGCUGAGAAUUCGUUCAAACAGGCCUGGGAUCAGCCUGACAGUGUCUCUAAAGUUUCUGCCUGGUACCGACCUCUGGACGAGGUAUGAGACAUACUGAUUAAUAGUGUCGCUUUGCAAUCAUCAGUCUGAGGAUGUUGGGGCCAGAUUAUACUAGCUUGUCGGCAUUCUUUACUGAUGCCAUAUGACCGAUGAUUUGCCCCUGGUUACAAGGAGGUCCUGAGCAGGGUCUGCUGUUGAAGCUGGUUACCUUACAGAAGUAUGCCUAUGCGGUCAGCAAAAUAUAAAAAUUCCCACGCAAGACUCUAUUUGGUGUGCCCUGGUACCAAAGUAUUCUGUGUAUACAUUGGUGGUUCCUGACUGAAGAGAAGAACUGUGUUCCGAAAGGAUAGUCACAGAGGGAGGACAAGACACCUGUUCGUACCUGGCCUGUCCGGAUCCUUCAUUGUAAUACAUAUCCUUACUUUAAUGUGGUCGUUAAAUUGUACCCUUUUCUUAUGGUAAACUGUACAUUUGUCAGCCCUGGCAUUUUGGGCCGUGUGACUCUUCGGCAAAUCAAUCUCGUUUAACGGGUUCUGCUAGUGCACUUGUACUUUGGUAAACUGAUCUUUUCCCUGAUAUGAGCUGCAGUUACACUGUCCCAGUGUGUCUUUUGACUUUGCUUGUGGUAGUUUGCCCCAUGUACGUCAGAUGCUUUUUAAAAUUUUUGAUUUUGUUUAAAUCCGAGGUAGUUAACAUAUACGGUAACAACGGUGUCAGGAGUUGAAUCUGGCGAUUCAUCAUCUACCUUUGGUAGUCAGUGCCUAUCCCAACAAGUGCCCUCCUAAUGCCCAUCACCCAUUUAGCCCAUCCCCCCACCCACCACCCCCUCAGCAAUUCUCAGUUUGUCCCCUGUAUUUGAGGGUCUCUUGUGGUUUGUCUCCCUCUCUGUUUUUACCUUAUUGUUUCCUUCUAUUCCCCUACGUUCAUCUGUUUUGUUUCUUGAGUCAUUUUUGGAAAAAAUUUACACUUGAGAUUAUACUUUUAUAAGUAUAGUUCAUUUUUCCAUAUUUGGUAGCUGGAAUUUAUUUUGUUGGAAUUUGUAAGGUAUGACUUCAGCGUUUCACCCCCAGAUGGCUACAUUGUGUGUGGUCUCAUAUCCUUUACUGAAUGAAACCCUUCCCCAUUGUCUUGUUUUUUUUUUUAAGUUUAUUUAUUUUGAGAGAGAGAGAGAGUGCUGCAUGCAUAAGUGGGGGAGGGACUAAGAGAGAGAGAGAAAGAGAGGAUCCCAAGCAGGCUCUGCACCAUCAGUACGGAGUUCCUUGUGGGUCCCUGAACUCACAAACCAUGAAAUAAUGAUCUUAGCCGAAGUCAGAUGCUUAACCGAUUGAGCCUGCCACGUGCCUGUCCUCCCCAUCCUCUUUUACUUGCCAUCUGUAGCUGAAAGGAUAGAAUAAUAGGAAUAAUAUAUUUCUAUUAUUUUAGUAACAUUCAAUCCGCCUGCUUUUCGGCGGAAUGAACCACACAGCCUUCAUUAUUUUAUAUUUAUAAUUUUGUUUCAAUAUUCGGCAGAGCCUGCCUUUCUCCCAUUUUCACAUUACUUUUAUAUUAUUUUUUGUUGCCGUUCUUUCCUUCUAAGUCUGACUGGCUUUUUAGGUCAAUUCUUUUUUAAAAUCAUAUUAUAAAGUACUCAUCUAUUCCUAGUCUAUUAAAUAGUUUUCUUCACAUGGAUAUUGCUUUUCUUUGUGCCGUUUCUUGAAUUUCUUGAAACACGUGGCUUAAUGUUUUUGAUCAGUUUGGGAAAACAUUCAUCCAAUAGGUCUUAAAAUAAUACUACUUUUAUCGAACUAUCUUUUCUACUUUGGGGUCUGUUAUUACGCAUAUGCUAAUCUUUCUCAAUAUGGUCUAGGAUGCUUACCCUCUUUUCUAUAUUUUGCUCAAGAGCUAGGGACUAGAUAUACAAUGGAUGGUUUAUGCCUUGUCCAUUGGUGGUUCAAGUAACCUAGGCUGCUAGUGGCUUGGAUUAUGUUCCUUCUUAGCAAAAGGCUAGAUAUAACCAGAGUGGGGAGUAGGACAGUGAUGUUACUUAUUUUAUUCUAUCAAUAAUCUGGCACGUUUAGAGAUUGAGAAUAAUAUUUUUUUUAGGAAUUUGAAGUAUUAUUCCAGAAGUUUAAAUUUCGAUGAACUCUUUUUAGAUUAACCAUAUUCUUGAGGUUAUUGCUGCUGUGUUUAUUACCAUCUGAAAAGGUUGUACUGUAUAAAACUGUAAUAAAACUGGAGAAAGGGAAAUGAAACUUCUCUUUUGUUCCCCCCCAAAUGGGAAGCAAAAUACAGUGUUGGGCUUGUAAUCAAUUUGCGACAAGUGAGGAAUAAAGAUUAAACACUAUAUUUAUUUGGGGGAAUAUAAGACAAAUGUUUUUAAAGCCCCCCAAAUAAAAGUAUCUUGUAAUUAUACAAUGUUGUAUGAUAUACUUAAUGGAUGAAUUAAGAAAAUGAAAAAGAAGAGUAAAAACAAAUGAAAAAAUUUGAUGUUUUAGAAAAUAUUUUGCACUACAGAGCUUUCAAAAUAGAAAUUAGCAUAAAUCAUUUGGUAGAAAAAAAUAGAAAAUACAAAAUAGUAGGAAGAAAGCAAGAAACUGCUUCUCCUUACAUUUAAACCCGCCAUUCAAAUAGCAGUUGUUAGCAUUUAGUUUAUAUCUACUAAAACUUUUUUCCACAUAUGCAUGUAAAACCCCAUCUAUUUUACAUAUAAUUUUUAUAAAACUGUAUUUUUCCAUAAGUGACUUUUAAAUCUGCUUAUUUCAUGGGAACUAUUGUGUAACCAUAUCUCCAUGUUAAUAGCAACAGUUCUAGAAGACCUCUUUAAAUUACUACAGUGUAUCCUUUUAUAUCAACCUACAUGAUUAAUUUUACCAGUCAUUUUACUGUCAGAUAUAUAUGGAUGCAUUUUUAAUGGUAUACAAGAAAAAUUUGUAAUUAACCCAUGCAUUACUUUCAUUUUUAAACAGGAUAUAGAUUUCAUUCAUUACUCUUUGUCAGAAACAUGUCCCUGUUUCUAAUAUGUAUAUUAAAUUAUAUAUUAUAUAAUAAUUUAAAUAUUAAUAUUGGCCUUUUUCUUACAGUGAAAAUUUUCAUGGAGAGAAUAUUUAACAUUCUUUAUUAAGUGGAACAUGAUUAAGAUGAGAUAAUUAUUAGACAUUAAACAUGAUUUUUACAACUCAAAAUAUACUGGCUAUAAAAUAAUCUAUAACUAGAAGGACAGCAAUAAGUUAAGAAAGUCUGAGGUCAACAAACCACUUCUUGUUUAGCACAACUCUUGUUUCUGUAACUGGCUUUUACUUAAUAAAAGCCCUAAGAAUGUUUUGAGAGUGUAAAAGAUGAUCUUGGCCAAUGGCAAUAUUGGUAGCAAAAAAAUAAAAGCCACUAUAUGUGAAGAAAAGCCACUAGUAAAAAUAUUUUACAUUUGUAUAGUGAUAUUUAUAAGUUUUAAAAGUAGGUAUUUGUAGCUAUUAAUGCAAAAAAAGCCAAAACUUGUAGUUGUAAGCAUUUUGCAGAAAUUACUGAAAGUUUUAAAUACUUUAUUUUCUAGCUAGCUUUCCUUUAUCCUCAUGGGAGUAUUUUCUUCCCAUAUUUUUUGUUUUGGGAGUUUAAAAAAAAAAUUGUUUCAUACAGACUACAUCCAUGGGAUUACGGCAUUAAAAAAACAACAAGCAGCAAUCACUGAUGUUGUCACCGUCUAUCUUACUUUCCUGACCCCAUUUUUAGUUACUUUUGUAUCCUUCCAGUGUCACUCUGUGCAUGAAUGCUUGUACUGUCGUCAGAAUGGAGCUAGACAAUAUUCCAUUCAAAGUGCCCAGGUUUUACAGAAGAAACUGAAAUAUUAGAGGUUAAUUUACUUAUCUGUUAGUUCUCUUUCAACUCCUCAAUCUAUUUCCAGUGUGUCUGUUUGAGAAAUAUACAUUUAAGUGUGAGUUUCCUAAAAAAAAAUAGACUUGCGUUUGAUUUAAAUAACGUUUUUAUAUGAUACCCAGAGAGUAGACGGUGAGAUAAGGAACUCUUUCGCAGUGCUAACAUUUGUUGUGAAAUUUCUUUUGAGGUGAUAGACAAGGCAACAAUUACUUAUUGAACUUCUAGUAAUUCUUAAAACAAUUUUCUAAGAACAAUCAGGAAAAUAAGUUCAUGGCUAACAUGAACAAGAUCAAGUUUCUUGUACUUUGUGGAAGCAAAUCUGAACCUGUCUCUUCUUCAUUCUAGAACUCAUAAUUCUCACCAGCUAAUGUCUGCUAGAUAGAGAAAUGUUUUUCCAGAGCAUAUGAAAAGGAGGAAUUAUCUGGACAAUAAACUUUAUCUCUGUCUUUCUAUAUAUACUUCCUAGUGCUAGCAUGAGUGAUAAUCCAAGUUGUUGGUUGUUUUUUUGUUUGUUUUUUGUAAUCUGCAGCUCUUUAAUUAUUAUAUUUUAUAAAAAUUUCACUAGCCAGAUACGAAAACAUGUCUUAAAAUUUGGACUAAAGAAAUGUGAUUAAUUAUGGCCCAAAUAAAGUGUUCAGAUUGCAUUAAGCUUACUAUCUUGUACUUUGCCUCAUGUAAAGUGAAAAGCUCUUACUAACAUAAUCUGCAUAAAGUUAAAUUUAGAAUACAUGCAUAUUUAGAAAAGAAAGAGCAUUAUACUGAGAUCUUUCAAAUUGCAUCCUUUGGCAUACUAAUAAAAGUCACAAAUUGAAUCAUAA
This is a long non-coding RNA of Neofelis nebulosa (Clouded leopard), 5479 nucleotides long. RefSeq lists it as uncharacterized. Lineage: Eukaryota; Metazoa; Chordata; Mammalia; Carnivora; Felidae. The transcript has 2 exons. The record is from RefSeq and is a predicted model, not a curated record.